This 253-nucleotide ribosomal RNA is filed under the name uncultured bacterium. RNAcentral's name for it is "partial 16S ribosomal RNA". It matches the Rfam family "Bacterial small subunit ribosomal RNA", at positions 524 to 776 of the family's 1533-position model. The record is from RNAcentral.
UACGUAGGGUGCAGGCGUUAAUCGGAAUUACUGGGCGUAAAGCGUGCGCAGGCGGCUUCCUAAGUCAGAUGUGAAAUCCCCGGGCUCAACCUGGGAACUGCGUUUGAAACUGGGAGGCUGGAGUGCGGCAGAGGGGGGUGGAAUUCCACGUGUAGCAGUGAAAUGCGUAGAGAUGCGGAGGAACACCGAUGGCGAAGGCAGCCCCCUGGGCCAAUACUGACGCUCAGGCACGAAAGCGUGGGGAGCAAACAGG